Pseudophryne corroboree (corroboree frog) is the source of this 327-nucleotide long non-coding RNA. RefSeq lists it as uncharacterized. NCBI's taxonomy places the organism in Eukaryota, Metazoa, Chordata, Amphibia, Anura, Myobatrachidae. The transcript is spliced from 4 exons. The record is from RefSeq and is a predicted model, not a curated record.
AGAACGCUUAACCCAGGGGCUGCCCUAUGUGUAUCCUCUUGGACCUAUAGUGGCUGAAUGUCCUUUUUGAGAUCCUGCAGCUGUUGACCCUGAGUGGGAGAAUGCCUUAUCCAGGUGUAAUCUUGUGCACACCUUUCCAGACCCAUAGCAGUGGUUUGGUUGCAGAGCUGUGAUUAUAUGGACAUUCUCCACACUUGGUAUACAGCAGUUCAGACAUGCAGCCCCAUUGGAAUGUGCUGAUAGAGAUAUACUUUUAAUUAUUCGGCUUCAUUAUAUUAUGAUUGGAUUUGAUGAUUCAUGUAUGGCCCUUCUUGAAAAAGAUCCUGG